UAAGUGAAGGAAUAUUAGUGUACAAAUGUCACAAUUGUAUUGAACAUUGUCCAUGUCAGCUAAAAGCUGUUGGAUUGGCUGAAGUUUGUUAGGAGUCAGUUAGUUUGUUAGUUGGUUGUAACGGCUAAUAAGCCUUGGGUUUGCUGCUAUAUAUAGCAGUGUGUAAUCUCUCUCUCUCUCAAUGAAUUGAAAGCUCAACAGUUUAUUCUUCUUCUUCUCUCUCUCUACUGCUAAAGUUCUCUCUCUAAAGCUUCAAUCUUGAUCUCUUCUUCGUCCUUCAUCUUUUUAUUUUUUUCAUCUGUUAAUAUGGUAUCGAGCCAGCAAUUUUGUUGUGGUUCGUUGGUUUUUGGGGCUCUCUGAUUGGCUUCUAGGAUCUCUUCUUGGAGUUUGAAAGCUACGAUUUGCAUCAAUGGCGGUGGGCAAUUGGCGGUUGGCAGUUGGCAUUUGACGAUUUGAGAUCUAUUUUUUGGAGAAUUAAAGCUUCGAUCAGGUGAUAUGGCUCUUAUGUUUCUCGAUUAAUCCAUUUCUCAAGUAUUUCUCUGUGCUAUAUGGAAUUCUGGUUUCUGGGUUUCUGGUUGUGCUAUGAUAAAGUAAAUCUUGUAGUGUAGUCUAUGAUUUUUGUGUGUCAUUCAAUAGUUAAAGUUUGAGGCACGAAGCCAUUAGUAGUUAAAGAUUUGUGGGCACGAAGCCAUUGAUUGAUAAUCUUGAAGUUCUUGUAGUUAUUUGGUUGAAGGCAAGAAGCCAUUUCUGUGAUUUUCUGCUCUUUGUGAAGAUUCGUUGGCACGAAGCUGUUUCUGAAUAUUUCUUGAUAGUUUGAGUUUUUCUAGUUGUAUAAAGAUGGCAUCAUCAUCAUCAGUGAAAAUAGAAGGGUUGUUGGGAAUGUUAACCAUAAAGUUAACUGAUAAGAACUUUUCUAAGUGGGUUUUUCAAUUCAAGUCUGUUAUAAAAGGAUAUAAAUUGUUUGAUCACUUUGAUGGCACUGCUAUUUGUCCACCAAAGUUUGUUAUACACACUGAGCAUGGAGUUACAAGUGAAAUUACAAAUGCUUAUCUUGAAUGGGAGUCAACUAAUUUGGCAUUGUUAAGUUUGCUUAUGGCAACAUUAUCUGAUGAAUCUAGAAAGCAUGUUCUAGGAUGUAAAAAUGCACAUGAGGCAUGUAUUAGUCUACAAGAUAGAUAUGCUUCCAUUUCUAAAGCAAAAGUGAACACACUUAAGAAAGAAUUUCAAACUAUAUAAAAAUGGGCUAAUUCAAUUGACCAAUAUUUGUCUAGGCUCAAGAAUAUUAAAGAACAGUUGCUUGCUGCUAGAGAAUUUGUGUUAGGCAAUGACUUUGUUGUUGCUGCUUUUUCUGGUUUACCAAUGGAGUAUUCAACCAUAAGGAUUGUCAUACUUACAAAGGAUACUUCAAUUUCCUUAAGAGAGUUUAGGGAACAGUUGCUCUGUGCAGAAAGAGAAUGAGUCUAUGGUUAAUAGUCUGUUAAACAAUUUCUCUUGUUUGUAUAUGCAAGGAUCUGUUAGUUCAUCAUUGUCAUAGGGUUCUGGUAUGUCACAAGACUUUGGUAUGUUUCAGGGAUCUUCAAGUUGUUAUGAUGGUAUACCAUUCUCUAUUAGUGGUACAAUUACAAGAGUUCAAAAUGGUAUUCCAAGCUUUCGGGUGUCAUCUAUGCCUUAUCCACAGCAAGGACAAAGUAACCGAGGUUGUAAUCUACCAAGGAAUGAGUAAUGAUUGUGAGUUGUUUCGGAUACCAACAAAGCUACUUACAAAGGGUCUAGUGUCUUCAGCAAAGGAGUCUAUGGGGUUGCUUGGUCCAAAAGUGAAGUCUAUAUUAUGGCAUCAAAGGUGUGGUCAUCAUAGCAAUGAAGUACUAUUUGCAAUGUUGAAGAAUUCUGAUAUAGUUAGUUCUGUUGAUGAUAAACAACAUUUGUGUUCAGCUUGUAUUUCUAGAAAAAUUUCAAGAUUACCAUUUGUAGAUGGGAAAGAGUCUUCUGUUUUUCCUUUUCAAAAGACUCAUUAUGAUCUUUGGGGUCCUUCACGUACAAAGUUGAUAGAAGGUUACAAAUACUAUGUGAGUUUUGUUGAUGAUUUUACCAGUUAUAUAUGGAUAUACCCAUUGAUCAAUAAAUCAGAAGUUUUUAAUGUUUUU
This is a long non-coding RNA of Pyrus x bretschneideri (Chinese white pear), 2144 nucleotides long. RefSeq lists it as uncharacterized. The transcript has 2 exons. The record is from RefSeq and is a predicted model, not a curated record. Lineage: Eukaryota; Viridiplantae; Streptophyta; Magnoliopsida; Rosales; Rosaceae.